Ipomoea nil (Japanese morning glory) is the source of this 578-nucleotide long non-coding RNA. RefSeq lists it as uncharacterized. Lineage: Eukaryota; Viridiplantae; Streptophyta; Magnoliopsida; Solanales; Convolvulaceae. The transcript is spliced from 2 exons. The record is from RefSeq and is a predicted model, not a curated record.
UAGGCUUGAGCAACUAGUUUUGGUGGACUGCAGGUACCUUGAAGGGGUACCUUUGAGCUUCGGAGAAAUUUAUACACUAAAUGUAAUAGAAGUGAACCGGUGCAACCGCCCUUUAGCCAGUUCAGUCAGGGAAAUUCAGGAAGAGCAAAAGGAAAUGGGAAAUGAACAGCCCAGUGUCCGUGUUUGGAAUUCUGAUUCUGAACCAAAAAAAUGGUACAACUUCUAAAUGUAAAAGUGGCGACUUUAAUUCACCAAAUCCAUUCUGCAUUCAAGGUGAUAAUAUACAUCAAUGCCACUUCACCAUCAUUGAUCUGCAUCUCUUCUCUAUUUUUAUUUUUUUGCACUUCUUUUUCACCUGGAUGGGCCUGGCUUGCUGAGAUGCCCAGUUUGUCUACUACUGAUGAUGUUCUGCAUCACGGAAAGACAGUGAAACUUCCAUUUGUGGUUCUUAACUUUGGACCUUUCCAAGGUGAUAAUAUUAAUGUUGUGUACUUGUGUUUGUGUCAUUUGAGACUUUUGUAUUUGUAUUUAUUAAGGAUUCAGUGAUCAGGCUCACUGGAAAUGCUAUUUUUAUUCCA